CCCAGACUCCUACGGGAGGCAGCAGUGGGGGAUAUUGCACAAUGGGGGGAACCCUGAUGCAGCGACGCCGCGUGGGUGAAGGAGCACCUCGGUGCGUAAAGCCCUAUCGGCAGGGAAGAAACAGACGGUACCUGACUAAGAAGCCCCGGCUAACUACGUGCCAGCAGCCGCGGUAAUACGUAGGGGGCAAGCGCUAUCCGGAUUCACUGGGUGUAAAGGGAGCGUAGACGGCGACGCAAGUCUGGAGUGAAAGCCCGGGGCCCAACCCCGGGACUGCUCUGGAAACUGCGGCGCUGGAGUACGGGAGGGGCAGGUGGAAUUCCUGGUGUAGCGGUGAAAUGCGUAGAUAUCAGGAGGAACACCGGUGGCGAAGGCGGCCUGCUGGACUGCGACUGACGUUGAGGCCCGAAAGCGUGGGGAGCAAACAGGAUUAGAUACCCCAGUAGA
This 447-nucleotide ribosomal RNA is filed under the name uncultured bacterium. RNAcentral's name for it is "partial 16S ribosomal RNA". It matches the Rfam family "Bacterial small subunit ribosomal RNA", at positions 330 to 794 of the family's 1533-position model. The record is from RNAcentral.